AACGAACGCUGGCGGCAUGCCUAACACAUGCAAGUCGAACGAGACCUUCGGGUCUAGUGGCGCACGGGUGCGUAACGCGUGGGAACCUGCCCUUAGGUUCGGAAUAACUCCCCGAAAGGGGUGCUAAUACCGGAUAAUGUCUUCGGACCAAAGAUUUAUCGCCUUUGGAUGGGCCCGCGUUGGCUUAGCUAGUUGGUAGGGUAAAAGCCUACCAAGGCGACGAUCCAUAGCUGGUCUGAGAGGAUGAUCAGCUACACUGGGACUGAGACACGGCCCAGACUCCUACGGGAGGCAGCAGUGGGGAAUAUUGGACAAUGGGCGAAAGCCUGAUCCAGCAAUGCCGCGUGAGUGAUGAAGGCCUUAGGGUUGUAAAGCCCUUUUACCCGGGAUGAUAAUGACAGUACCGGGAGAAUAAGCUCCGGCUAACUCCGUG
This 433-nucleotide ribosomal RNA is filed under the name uncultured bacterium. RNAcentral's name for it is "partial 16S ribosomal RNA". It matches the Rfam family "Bacterial small subunit ribosomal RNA", at positions 29 to 507 of the family's 1533-position model. The record is from RNAcentral.